Molecule: long non-coding RNA, 21379 nt
Filed under: Nicotiana benthamiana
Lineage: Eukaryota; Viridiplantae; Streptophyta; Magnoliopsida; Solanales; Solanaceae
Description: long non-coding RNA (NBEN_LNC016330)
Source: RNAcentral
UUCUUCUUCUCUGAAGAACACGCGAGCCAAACCCCAAAUUAGUCCCUUCUUUGGUUCCUGGUUCUGUUUCAGAAAAUAUAUAUAAAAAAAGUUUUCAUUAUCUUCUCUGAUUUCCCUCAAAGAAUGGAGAUGGGUUGAGCUGAGAUUGAGCUGGCUGCUCGAGUUCAAGUUCGUAGUUUUUACAUCCCGAUGCACUGUAACACUGGUGUUCUUGAGCUUUCAUCAUCGAAUUCACUUUUAUUGGAUUCAAAGAAGAAUUAAUCUAAGUUCGUUCUCAACUCAGGUUCAUUUCUUCUCCAACUCUUUAUUAAUUUGUGAUUCAGUGUUUGUGCGUGUUCAUAUCUCGGCAUGGUUGGUGUGAACCCUGAAAGCUAAUGUCUGUUCUCUUACUCUAUUUCUGAGCCUUGUUUGGCUUUGGUUCAGAUUUGUUAAGAUGUUUUGGUUUGUCAUUAAAGUGCACUGCGAUGGUCGAUCCCCUGCCCUUGAUUUGCUAGUCCAUCUCUUGCAAAUUCGUUGUUAGUUGAUAGGCUCUUUCUUUACCUCGCAAGGUUUUCGAAUUAUGUAGAAAUUAGUUUUUCUGGUCCUUUGAACUAAAUAAGGUCUCUGCUAAGGCUCCAUGAGUUUGGAACUCAUUAAUCCACUGCUUGAAUUGUUUGAGUUACGUCCUGAUUUUUCUUAAUCUCAUUUUGGCCCAUCUUAGUUGAUUCAUUGUUUAAUGAAGUAAGUUGCCAACCUUUCAUGUUACGUUUUCAUUUAAACACGGAAGCUGUUGUUUUGCAAUUGAGUAGCUGAAUCCGCUCGAAGUGUCUUUACUGAUUCUCUCUGGUUCUCAAACAGAAAUGUGCCUAAGUAUUAGGAUAGUCGUGACCAUGCCCGCGCCAAGUCAGAUUUUGUGCACGCUAUUUUGAUAUUUAUGAAUUGGAUUUACAAUUGACCUUAGAUGUUUGUGUUCCUUGCUGAGUUUAUCUCUAUGUGCUGCAUUUCAUAAGCUUGAUUGGAGAAAGAAGUAGAUUAAGACAUUGUCUUAUUACAUUUCCUUUAGAAAACUGCGUUAAUUAAAUUGUGUCCAUACGAACAGCGAGUGUUAUGAAGCUUGGAGCUGAAAUAUGUAUAUUUGAGUUGCUUGACUGAAAUUCUGAUUUCUUUGGAGUUAUAAAGUACUGUAGCACAAGAGGUAUUGUACAAAUUCGUGUUGUGAUCUAUUUUGAACUUGUUAAUCAUGAUACCGGAGAGAGCAGUAUUCUUGCACUAGAUUCUGAGCGUCUGUCCAUUUGGUGAAGCUUAAGUUGAUUAAUUUCUUUGUUUGAAAGUACCUGAUGUUUCGUGCUUCAUUUCUUUGAUUGAUUGAGCGAUGCGAUUCAUUUUGAUGAGUUCAAAAGAAUUAGCUCACUGCUUUUAGUCAUAUGAACUCGCUCUAUCGGCCUAACCAAAUGUAAACAUGAAGGAGUGAACAUUAACCAAUUGAUCCUUUGUGCCGGAGUUGUUAAUUCUAUUAGAUCUGAAAGUUUAAGCUUCUGAUUGUGUUCCUGUUGUUUGUGAACUUCAAAACGUCCCGAGCAUUUGAAUUGUAAAAUCAGUUGGAGUUGUGGUUUAAACUCGCGCGAGGUUCCACCUGGGCCUAGUUUGUUGCGUGGUUUUCUGGCUGUAAAUCUCAUUAUCUCAAAUGUCCGUCUCUUUUUCUGAUUAGCAUCGGUGCUUUUGUUGUAAUGCUUCACAGUAUACGUUGUUUGCAUGUCUGUUAUAUUUAUUGAAUGCGUCUGUGUUAAUGUUUCAAGAGGAUUUUGCUCGUUUCAGUGUCCUUUUCAUUUGAAGCUUCAUUUGAAUCAUAACAUGGUGGCAUAAUAUCCCGUUCUUAUCAUUUGGAUUAAGGCGUACUUGUUAAGGUCUUGUGAUAUAUAUUAAUUAGAAAGGAAAACUGUUUCUUUUAGUUCUUCUAUGGUAAAGUUAAAAAGUGUUUGAAUAUUGAAUGAAGUUUGCAUCAUUUUAUCUCUUUCAAUUAAUGCCAAAUUAUUAAAUUAGAAUGAAAAUUAUCAUGGGUACGGGUAUGGUUCUCGUGACGUAGCCGUGAUACUUAAUCCCUAAUUAGUGAAAUAUGAAUAUUCGUAGCUCAUUUAGUUGAAUGCUUUUCCUUUAGAGUUCGAUGUGUGCCAUUUAGCAAAUUCUAUGGCCCUCGCAAAGUACAAAUGCGUUCGAUUUAAUUAAAUUACUUUCUUAAACUAGGGUGCAUUGAUGCGACCACAAUCCAAAUCUCGAUGAAGUCGAAAUGUGUCGAUGACUACGGGUGCCUUGAUGGCGACGUGGUCGAACACGUGUUUUCACGACGUCGCAAGUCCUUUAAAAUAAAUAAUGGUAAAAGCAGUUUUGUAAAUAAAAGGCACAUAAGCUAGUAUGUAUUAAAAUCGGAUAAAAUCAAAUACAAUAGUUGAGCGACCGUCCUAGAACCACGGAACCCGGGAAUGCCUAACACCUUCUCCCGGGUUAACAGAAUUCCUUAUCCGGACUUCUGGUUCGCAGACUGUAACACAGUCAUAUCUUUCCUCGGUUCGGGAUUCAACCGGUGACUUGGGACACCAUUAAUCUCCCAAGUGGCGACUCUGAAUAAUUAAUAAAUUAAAUGUUGUUCAGAUUGUCCUUUAAGUGGAAAAACUCCUUUACGCCCCUUUGCGGAGGUGUAUAGCGAAAAAGGAGGUGUGACAAUCAUGAUAUCACAAUCAUUUACUAGCUAAGAAAAUCACCAUCAUCCUCUCCUUUAUAUUCCUACAUUUUGCAUAAGGCUAUUCUCUGCCUUUCGAGGUUAAGCUCUACCUCCAUUCUGCAUAAGGCUAUCUUUUGCAUUUCGGGACUAAGCUAUGUCUCCAUCUUGCAUCUUGCAUAAGGCUAUUAUCUGCCUUCCGAGGUUAAGAUCUACCUCCAUCCUGCAUAAGGAUAUCUUCUACCCUUCGAGACUAAGCUCUGUCUCCAUCUCGCAUUUUGCAUAAGGCUAUUCUCUCCCUUCUGAGGUUAAGCUCUACCUCUAUUUUGCAUAAGGCUAUCUUCUGCCUUUCAAGACUAAGCUAUGUCUCCAUCUCGCAUUUUGCAUAAGGAUGUUAUCUAGCUUCCGAGGUUAAGCUCUACCUCCAUCCUGCAUAAGCCUAUUUUCUGCCUUCCGAGGUUAAGCUCUACCUCCAUCCUGCAUAAGGCUAACUUCUGCCUUCCGAGACUAAGCUCUGUCUCCAUCCUGCAUUGCAUAAGGCUAUUCUCUGUCUUCAAGGUUAAGCCCUACCUCCUUUAUUUUGCAUUUGGCUGAAAUAUCGCCACCCUAUUUCAUUCGACUGAAAUAUCGCCGCCUUGCAUUUUAAAUUCCUGCUCCACUGAAAUAUCGCCACCCCUUGGAUUCAUUCGGCUGAAAUAUUGCCACCUUCGCAUGGGCUGAAAUAUCGCCACCUUAUUCAAAGGCGUCAUAGUUUGGAGGCACCAUUCGCAUAGCCCGAGAACACCAUUUCAUGGCCUGCGAAUCUUUACUUUAUGCUCUUCAUAGCCCAGUACGUCAUAGUCUGAUGACGCCAUCCUAAUCGUCCAAAGACAGCAUUCAUUGUCCAAUGGGAACUUGUAUCAUAUUUAAAUUAUGCAAUAUAUACGCACAUCGUUCAUUUGCAGGUACACCGGCUGGCACGACCACCUCAGCAGGAGCGGUCCCGCUCCAGUUCUCCGUAGCCCGUCCGAUAUUUGAACCCUUGACAAGUCUCAAACCCCGUUGCGUUUGCCUCUUCAAAAUUUUCAUUGGCAUAUCCCGCCAAUGGUUCCUGAACUACAUACAGCCCGAUUCCUGUAGAACCGAGGAUAUGUAGGCAGCUCAGAAGCCAGAGCACUGUCAAAAUUCUCUUACAAAUGUCAUUUCCGGUCAAAAUUGGCCAUCCUGUCUUUACCUGACAACUCUUUCAUCCUCCUCGGGUAAAGAGGGGCAGUUGUUGAUACCCAAUUUUUCCCAUGUAAUUCUAUGCUCAAAAUAUUUCCAAAAUAGCAUAUAGAUGCAUACAUAAGCAUCCACAAAAAGUUUGGUAUUUUUCUACAUUUUUUCAAGUACUUUUAAUGCCAAUUUACGAUUUAUUUUGUUCUAUAUAAUCCAAUAUUUAGUCUCAAAUCUUGCUAUUUUCAUAAGUAAUCUAUUUUAUUCUCAUAUUACAUAAAAAUAUAAUUUUUACAGAAUUUUACAAAGCCAUUAGGUAUUUUUAAAUUAAAACUGCAGUAAAUUGCAAUUUUAGCCUAUUUCUCAAUUUAAUAAGUAUUUCAAGUACAAAAUUCGUUCCUAAUUUUUUUAAUUAACUCCUAGACAUAUUUUAUUAACUCAGUACUUUCACUGGAUUUUUAUAGGAUUGUUUACUAUUUUUAUAAAAUUAAAAUUGGGAAAGAUGGCUAUUUAAAUUGUAGCCCUUAAUCUUUCAAUUUUAGCCCAAAUUGGAACCCAAAUCAAUCCCAUUUAAAACCCCAAUUGCCUGAUCCAAAUUCCAAAAUCACCCGACCCAAACCCACCUAAAUCUAACCCGCCUGCUCCCUUUUCUAAUCUUGGCCGUUGAUCUCACAGAUCAACGGCCCACAAUCCACUUACCAAAAAUUAAAUCCCAAAUAACCCCCAAGCCCUAAUCAGUCUUCCAAACCCGCCGCCUUUGAAUCCCUAAAGCUCUCAAAGCCCUCUCAAACCCUAAAUCAUCUCCGGCUAUCUAACCGGCGUCCAUGGUCGUCCAAGACUUGAAACUUCUUUAUUCGUUCACUCCUCACCUCUCCGGGCCAUGGGUUCGAAGAUCGGAAGCCCACUUCGAAGCUAAUCAGACCAGAGGUCCUCUAAUGAGGUUUCGCAGCCGUAUCUGGCCUUUUCUCCGGCAAGCCUUAAAGCCCUGGGCCCUUUGCUGACUCUGACGAGUCCAUUCCAGGCUUUUCUCACUACUUCGAAACUUUUCUAUGCAAACUCCAAUGUUCGAGGUUCAUCUCUGUGUUCAUCUUUAAGAUUCUCUCUAAAAUCCUAGUGAUUUUCUAAAGAUUUACAAAAUAUUUCUCAUCUCUUCUUCGCCUAUUCAUUUUUUCAAACUGAUCGUCUUUUAAAACCUAGGGUUUCUAUGACUUUCCAUGAUUUCUCUGAUUUUAUUACUUUAUUUGCUGUUGUGUGUUCUACUCUAUGUCUUUGCUAUGAUUUUAAAGCAUUUUUCUACCAAUUACUUUAUUUGCUGAUGUGUGUUCUUCUCUAUGUCGUUGAUAUGAUUUUUAAGCAUUUUUCUACCAUGACUCUAUGGUGUUUUGCUUUACUGUUUACUUUCUAGGGUUUUCAGUUCAUGUAUUCUACGCUUCCUUUAUGUUGUUCUGCUUUUAUUCAUCUUCAUCUGUUAUAUUCCUUAUGCUCUGAUUUGCAAUGGAAACCCUAGUUUUCAGAGGGUUUUUCCAUUGUCUCUCUGUGAAACCUUAGCCGCCUCUAGUUGCUUCCUCGUAUUUUUUGCUACAUGUUAUUCUAAUUGCUUCUAGUUUAUGCAUGUUCAAACCUGUGCAUAUUUUAUAGUACCACUUUCCCCCUUCUCUGAAACCCUAAUUGAUUUCGUACAAUUUGUUUGAUUCUCUAAUUAAGGCUUGUUCUCUGACUAAGUUCAAUACAUCGGUAUCAUGAUUCCUUGAUUUCCUGGGUGAUUACUUGCCUUAUGUCUUUUACCCGUGUGAUUUUCAAAUUCUUCUUAUGAAUUUGCCCUAUAUUCUUUGACUAGUACUCGAUUUCCUUUCCAAAAUUAGACCUGAGCUUAGUUAUUUCUACUCGGUUCCUACCCUAUAUUCGGUGACUAGUACUCGAUUUCCUUUGCAAAGUUAGACCUAUGCUUAGAUACUUCUAGCAGGUUCAUUAAUUAAAGGGAGCCUUCUCCCUGAUUGUUUAGGAUUGGUACUGCUGAAUAUUUUCUUGCCUUAAAGGUUGCAUUCUUUCAAACUAUAAAUAGGCCAAAUCUAUUUGUGUAUUUUAAUUUAAGUUAGCAUGUUUAAUCCCCUUCCCCUUUUCCUUUGUCUGUUCAGUUUAAGCUUUAACAUGUUGAAUCCCUUUCCCCAUUUCCCUUGUCUGUGUGUUUGUCUGUUCAGUUUAAGCUUUAACAUGUUUAAUCCCUUUCCCCAUUUCCUUGUCUGUGUGUAGUUCAGUUGCAACAUAUUUAGUUCUCCAUUUUUCCUUGUCUGUUUUUGUUUUAGUUUUUAGUUCAGCAUGCUCAGUCCUUUCUCUUGGCUGUUUAUUGUUCAUUAUAUAGUUUAAGUUCUUAUACACCACCUUUCCCCUGAAUCCCUUUUAAUUUAGUCUUAUAUACUUAUGUGACUCUUUUUUCCCUGAUCCUUGUUUGAAUGAGAGUGUGUUCUAUAUUAGGGUGGCAUCAUUGUCACUCCUAGUUUAGAACUAAGGUUGUCAACAACCUAUACUCAAACUAAUCACAUCCCCUACCCCCUUAUUAUGUGUUUGAGCCUUGACAAAGGUUUGUUGGUGUCCUAAUCACCAUUCAGGCCCUAGUAUGACUUGUUUACAAGUCUGCUCCUGUUUGUUAACCUUUAUAAGUGGUUAGGGGUGUGCCAGCCUCACUCCAUAGGCUAGGUAUGACCGCCUCCUACAAUGGUCUUCCUCUAAUCUAUCACCUUUACACUUAUUCUUAGUGCUUUAAGUCCUACUUCCCCCUUAGUAAGCCAUGCUUAGGGGACCCCAGAGUCUCCUCUAAACUUGAAUGCUUUUGGGCUAGUAAUUCCACGCUUGCACUACUCUAAAGAGAAAGCCUCGGAUUUGGGAGCCUGGAUUUGGUAAAGGGCGUACGUUGGACAUUAAAGUUGCUUUGCGCUUCUUCGGGCCUGUUGUAGUAUUGAUGUAUUAUUUAUUUCCUUUAAUGUUAUUUUUUUGGUCCAGAUUCUUGUAAAUAACUUGUAAUUAAAGAACUUGGGGAUCUAGUGAAAGAGAAUAUGAGAGGGUUUACCUUUAUUGCGUUAUCUCAUAUAGUUACCAUGGCUAUAGGGCUUUACUUUUUUGCAUCAUCUCAUGUAGAUAUCAUGCUUAUAGGGUUUUACUUCUUGCAUCAAUAUCAUAUAGUUACCAUGUCUAUAAGGGUUUACAUGUAGAUACCAUGCUUAUAGGGUUUUACUUCUUGCAUCAAUAUCAUAUAGUUAUCGUGUCUAUAAGGGUUUACUUUCUUGCAUCUCAUAUGGAUGUCAUGUCUAUUGGCUUUUCGUUAUUGCAUCAACUUCAUAAUCGAAAUCAUGUCUAUAGGUCUGCAUUCUUACAGCCGCAUAGAGAAACCAUGCUUAUAGGUUUGCAUUCUCAUAAUCUCACCUAGAAAAUAUGCCUAUAAGAACCAUAUAAACGCUAGGCAAAACAGUAGGUCGUCCAAACUUGUAAAAAAGCAGUAACGAACAAAGAUCAAUGUGUAUGUACAGUGCUUAAAAACGUUUCAGUCUGUUUACUUUUAAAUUUGGCCCAUGUCUUCCCCUUUCACAUUACUCUGAACUUGUAAUGUCCUUUAAAAUGUUAAAAUGAUGGUUUCAAACAUUCUACCUGCCUAAGUUUAAUGCUUUAAGGUCUUUUAAAUUUUUUCCUCUUGCAUCCUUUGUAUUCAACUGUCCGGCUAAACUGUAAGUCAUUCCUAUACCUUGCUGCAACUUUAACUCUUUUUUCAACAGUCCUAUGUCUGAAACUAAUGUUCUCCUCUAAUAUUAAUCGAUUUUCGAAAACUAAAAUUGUAAGCCAUUUCUAAACCUUUCUGCAACUUCAACUCUCUUUUCGACAGACCUAUGUCUGAAACUAAUGUUCUCCUCUAAGAUUAGUUGAUUUUCAAAAACUGUCAGUUUCUAAAAUGGGCCCGGAGGACGCAAAGUAGAUUUUCUAUCUUUUUUCUAUGUGUCAAACUAGUCUGCCUGCUCUUUAACCCCUUUUAAAGACCAAAUCAGUACUUGAAGUCAUGCUAAACUAGUUGCUUGUAAUGUUACGGGGUUUAUUUGAGCCUUUAAUUAUCUUAUCUGCAUACCUCUUAUGUGCUAUGUGUUUUGACUGUCGUCUUAGUAUUUUUUUACCUUUGAAACUCCAUAUAUGCCCUAUCUCUCUCACCCCCUUCUCAGGAUUAGAAGUCCUAAUACCCCAGGACUAACAUGUUGGGACGGGUAUUAGCAUGCAAUAAGUAAACGAUACCAACACGUUUAAAUACCUCAACGGGGUGGUAAGGGUAGAAUAUGGAGACGAUGACGAUGCGAUAAUAUCAUAAAGCGGCCCCUCUUUGGGAAUAUGUGCGGAUAUUGUAUCGAAUGAUCCAUAUUGUAGUUAAACCUAGGACCCUUCUCUCUUUUGCUUGCUUUAUUCAAAUGUUCCUAUAGUAAUGCUUUUCCAAGUCAAAUCCUCUCUUUUAUUUUAAACUAUGUCCUUCCCUUCUUCUUUAAAGCUUUCAAGUUGCGGGAAUGCUAUAUAUGUUAACCUUAUGUGUUUAAUUGCUUCAUAUCUUUAUAAAGUCACAAUUGACAAGGCCAAGAACUACACUAGUGGAUCUUGAGGGGUGCCUAACACCUUUCCCUCGAGAUAAUCUCAAGCCCUUUACCCGGACUCUGGUUUUCUUUUCAAAAAAUACUCCCUUAUUAAGUGUCCUAAUGCACUAUAAUCAUUAGGUGGCGGCUCUUCGAAUUCUAUAACCCAAUUCCUAAACAUGUAUGAGAGUUGUUUUUGUCCAUAAUAUCGUAAAACCAGAUUUCGCUCUUGCAAAAAGGGGGCAUCGACACCUUCAAUAAAAUUUCUGUUAGAAAAAUACUAAGAUUACUACUUUCAACAUCAAUAUUAAUUUAAUGUAUUCCUUCAGCAAGGAGAUCGUGAAUAAUCACUUGCAAUUCUUCGGCUUGCGUAAUAACAGACUUGCUAUCUACCAUUUUGUAGUACAAAACUUUGCAACAAUGAACCUCUUCAACCCGGCAUCUUUGGUUAUGUAUUUCUUUUCUAGUGCAGUCCACGGUUCUUUUGACGUUUUCACGCCACUAUAGACGUUAUACAAAUUAUCCUCCAGCCUGCUUAGAAUAUAAUUCUUACACAAAAAUUUGAAUGCUUCCAUGCCUCAGUCACGAGAAAGCGUUCAUUUUCUGGAGCUUUAUCAGACAACGCAAGAACAUCUUCCUUGAUGAACUUCUGGAGACUUAGAGUAGUCAAAUAAAAGAACAUCUUUUGCUCCCAACGGAUGAAAUCAAUCCCGGAAACUUUUUUUGGAUUUCUUCGCUGGUGCCAAUGUUACCAGUGUUCAGCUCGUUGAAGCAAUGGCAGUCACCAUCGGAGCAGCUUGGUUUCCAUUAUCAUUAGUCAUUUAUGUAUAAGAAUUACACCAAUAUUAAAAUCACAUAGAUUUUAAUAGAGUACAAAACCACAAAUGUUUUACUCUCCAGAAAUAAUGAGUACAAAUACAAAAAAAUAUUUAAAUUCCUUAAGCUUGUUCGUAUACUGUAUUUGUAAAACAAUUAUGAAAAUAUAAAUGAAUAUAAUAGAAAUGAACAUAAACAGAAAUGAUAGAAAAUCAAUUCGAGCCUACUUAAUUCACAGUAUUUUCUUAAGGAGUUUAAUCCCUUCCUAAUACCCAAGGCUAUGGAUUAUUUCCUUCCAGGAUAGAACGAAUUACACACUGGUGUAGUGGUACUUCAAACCCCAGUGUUUCAAGAAACACAAAGUUCGAUAGCAAAUCAAACUUGCUUUUUGCUUUGUUCGAUGCUAAAAGUAUGCAGAAGAAAGAGAAGAAACUCAGAAAAACAUAGUGAAAUUCUGAGGAGAAUAGCGUUGUAUUUAUGGCCAAAGUUGGGCUGAAAUUUGAAGAGGUGCAACUCUUCAAAAUGGUUGUUUCUGCAAAACGGCCACAGCAUAAAUGUCAUUACAUAAAUGGUUAUUUAGUCAACAACAAAGAGGGAAAAUAAAGAGUGAAAUUUGAUGGGUAGUUAAUUUUCUGUUACAAAAAUAGAAAACUAAAAUUUGGAUAACAUAAAUGAAUUUAAUAUUAAUAUUCUAUUAUAUAAUAAAUAUUUAAUAAUAUUUCUAUCAAUAUUUUACUAUUAACAAAUAAAUUUGGUCCUAAAAUUUAAUCAAUCAAUCGUUUGGCCAAAUCCUGAGCCGGAAUCGAGCUGCGAUGACGACGACGACGCGAGGCUUGCCUUCUUCUCAACUCUUUAAGAGUUAGAAGAGCAAUUGCUUAUAUACCCAUAAAAAACCUCUUCCUCUUUAAUAUGGGACGAUGUCCGUUAACCAAGGGGGACUUAAAAUUUCACUCAAAAAUUUCAUUUCCCUCCAUUUUUCAUUCACCCUCUUUUAAGUAUUUAAAGCCCUUACCCUAUUUAGCUUUUGUUGUACAUAACUUGAAAGAAACGUUUUAGCCUUUAGCCCACUAUUAAAGAUAUACUUUUAGGAUUUUUAUUAUUUUCUUCUUUCUUCAUUCCCUUCUCUCUCUCACCGCCUCUCACUUCUUUCUUUCUAACCCACAUAGAUCCCUCAUCCUCUCUUAGCCUAGCCCCCGCUAUUCCCUUCCUCUACCCCCCACGCAGUUCUGCAAUUAAUGGCUCGAAGAAGGGUCGGGCUCCUACUCCGUCGUCCAUGGUGGCAAGCAGAAGAAUAUUGAAGAUUUUUGAAAGAUACAUGAAAAUACACACAGAUCUAAAAAUAAAUAGCUCUCAAAUUUGAUUUGCACCAAAAAAUAACCACUAAUGUUGCAGCAAAACUAGUUCUUUCAAUCUAAUUCCGCAGCAAUGUCAUGAUAUUGGCAAUUCAAGCGCGCAAGCAGCCAUGUUCCUUCGGGAAUUUGGAGCUGCAAUUGAUCCCAUACACGUCCUUUCUAGUUGGAACAUCCUCCAACGCCAAACUAUGUAGCAGUUUGUAUUAACAUUGUAUACUAGUGUAUAAUUUUGUAUAUAGAUAUACAAACACCUCUUAUAUAGUAUUAUACAUAUUUAUACAAAGUUACAAUAUUGUAUAUUUGUGAAUAAAUGUGUAUAUUUUUGUAUAAUAUUGUAUAAUUAUAUAUUUUUCAGUUUAUAAUGAUGUAUAUACAUUGUUAGUGUGUAAGAGGCCUCUACGGAAAUUUGACAAUUCCUUUUCUUCUUAUUUUUUGUGUAAUGUGAUGUAUGAGCGUUGGAGGGAUUCUACAAUUUAUUUACGAUGUUUUUAUUUUUCUUUUAUCAUGUUGGAUUGCUUCAGCAAUUGCACAUAAAAGUGUUUGAAUUUCUUACCUUAAGAUAAUAUGUAUUAUUCAAGAUAGGAUUUUUUAGUUGCGUUGAGGCUUAUUUGUAUUUUUUUAUCAAAUGCUUAAUAAUCAAAGAAAAUCAUUAGAAUGAUAUCAGUUAGGAUUUUUGAGUUGUGUUGUAGCUGCUUUGUAUUUAUUUAUAAAAUGCUUAAUAAUCAAAGAAAAUUAACAAAAUGAAAACAACUGGUUGUAUAUAGAGGGACAAAAAUAAGUUGUCUUUCUGGAAUUAGCCUAUUAUUUUUUAGGCUAUAGAUUUGCAAAGUGGUAUCUAGGCUAUUAUAUUUCAAAUCAGGUGUGUGAGUUGUAUUUAUGUGAAAUUAUCACUAUAUUAAUUAAAUACAUCCUAAACCCAACAACUAUGUGCUGAAACAUGACAUAUAUGAUUUAUUAAUUCACAAGGACCAUAUAUUCACUUGCAAUGAAUUUGUGUACACUGUCGAAAAUAAAUACCCUAUACUAUUAGAUAUAGGAGUCCGGAACCAAAAUGUGGUUCAUUUGGAAUCAAACUACACAAAUAGGUAUUCAAAAAAGAUACCAUGCUAUAUAUAACGCCAUAAUACCUGGCGCUAUAUAUUAACAGUAACUGCACUGUCAAUAUAUAGCGCCAGGUUUUAUGGCGUUAUAUCAGAAAAAGCUGACACAACUGAUAUAGCUCCAUAAAACUUGGCGCUAUAUCCUUUUUUUUCAUGGCCCCACCAAUAAUAGCAGACUUUAAUAAUUCAAAAGCGUACAGUGCCAAAUUAUUUGGUGCUAUAUAUGUAAAAAAAAUCUUCACGGCUAUCCAUUUCCUAUAUAAAGAGGUUAGAAUCGCAUAGAAAUGCAUUCAAAAAAUUUUUUAACUCUUAUUGAAAUGUCUAUUGUUGUUAAAUUCUCCAACAUUUUUUUAUUAUGUCUGAAGAGCGUAGGAUAAGAGUUUCAUUAUAUUGGGGUGGUGAGGUUAUAAUGGAGAAUAACUCUGUGGGCUACAGUUUACCUGCUAAGUGUCAUGUUAAAUUGCCACUUGCAAUGGAGUACGAUACAUUGAUAUCGUUGUUAUGCAAAAAAUGAGUGUGAGAAAUUGUUCAAUGAUACUUAAAGUAACCGAAAGAUAUCCGUAUUCCAUUACUCCGCAAGGGAUUUCUUUUUACUCUGAGUUUAACAUCGACGAUGAUGAAACUUUGAGUGACUUGAGGACUUCGGACGAAUGCUGGGAAUUUCUUGUAAUUACAAUACUGGAGAUGUACGUGAAGGUCGAAAACGUUCCAAAAAAAAGGUUGUGCAUAGUCAAGAUAAACUCUAGUCAUCGGGUGGUUAUUCUUGAUCAGUUUUUGCUAGACAGGUUCCGGAUGAAAGAGUUUUUCUUGAUUUAAACUUAUCACCGUCGGCGAAUGAGCAUCGAGAAAAUAAUAUUUACCAUGCUUUCCAUAAUUCACAAGAAGAGUGGUAAACUUCACUUUUCAUUUGUGUUAAUUAUGUAUAUUUUUGGCGUAUUAAAUUUGUAUUAACGCUUUUUUAUUUAAUCAGGGAUAUUGGCCGGAUAUGAAUUUUACAAAUGGCCUCAUCACCUAAUUGAAAACGUCCAUCAUGGAAUGUCAUCACAUUACGACUUGUAAGUGAAGUGAUAUAGCCAUAUGGAAAGUAUUUAUUAAUUCAGUAGCUUAUACUUUUGUUGGUUUGUAGUGAAAACAAGAAAGUUAAACCGCCCCUACUCACUCAAUUGUCCGAAAAUGACAUAUUACAUCGGGAUCUAGCAGAUGCACAGAGUGAGGAAGAGAAUAGUGAUUACGAUAACAAUGCCGAUGAAUUGGGAGAUGAGACACCCUUUGCUCGUGAGGAUGGCGAUGAACAUGAUAAGGACGAAGGACCCGAUUUGAAGAGAGACCCCUUUAGACGUAGAGUGUACGAGUCUAAUGAAUAGGACGAGGAGGAAGGACCCGAUUUGAAGAGAGACCCCGCUAGACGAAGAGUGUACGAGUCCUAAGUGCCGUUUCAUUCAAGGGAGAUUCAUUACAUUGAUAACUUUCCAACCAUGGCGGAUAUGGAAGCUCUCAUAAGGGAUUUUGAUGAAAUCUGGACAACAAUGUGGGAUGAGUCUACACCAAUGGUGCUUGCAAAAGGGAUACUUUAUCCUGAUAAAGCGCGCGUAAGCAGGGCUUGUAAAAUGCACAACGUAAAAGGGUAUCGUGAGAUGCAGGUAUUGGAGGCAAGUCGGAUGGUAUACAAGGCUAUUUGCCGCAAGUGGUUUUGGCCAUGUGAUUGGAUGUUGCGUGCGACCAAGAAGAAGACUGGUAUGUGGAAAGUGGGUAAAUACAUUCCCACCCGCACAUGCGGAAUGGGCAUAUUCAACGGGAAUCACUUCAAAUUAGAUAUUGAUUUGAUAUCUCUUGUACUUAUUCCGCACAUCGAAGCGUCCAUAAGGUAUAAAAUCAAAGAGUGCAUUACAGCAGUCCACCAGGAACAUGGCUAUACGAUUAUUGAAAUAAAGCCAUAUCUCGAGCACAAAAGAGCGUUUGAAAUAGUCUAUGGUAAGUGGGAUAAGUCAUUUGCAGAUAUCCCUAGGUAUAUGGCUGCACUACAGUAGUUUAACCCCGGGACGGUUGUUGAAUGGUAGCUUGAGCUGAGUCCGGGUAAACCAGAAUAUAUAUUCAAUUACGUGUUCUGGGCGUUUAACCUAGCAAUUGAUGGUUUUCCUUAUUGCUAGCCUGUAAUAUCCAUAGACGGAACUCAUGUAUAUGGAAAGUACGAUUUCCCCUAGCUUUUGAUAUUUGUUCCAAUAAAAGCACAGAGACGUGGACGAUGUUUUUAAACCACUUGAAAGAGCACGUUGUCAAAUAGCGUUCAGGUAUUUGUCUAAUAUUUAAUCGGCAUUGUGGUAUAUUAAGUUCUGUGGAGAACUUACCUGCAUGGAAAGAACCUUAUGCAUACCAUCGUUACUGUGAGAAGCACUUGAAAGCCAAUUUUUAGAAGGCACAUCCCAAAACAAAUCUAUAUGAUUUGAUGUAGAUGGCAGCAACAGACCACCAACAGCAUAAAUUCCGGAGGCAUAUGGAUUCUAUUAGGCAAGAAGACGAUGCAACCUAUUGUUGGUUAAUGCAACAGGACCCUGAAAAGUGGACGUUGCAUGCAGUUGGUGGCAGACGAUGGGGAAUUCUUACUAUAAACCUGUCAGAGUCCUUCAACAGGUUAUUGAAGUCGGCAAGAGGAUUGCCCGUCACAGCCAUGGUGCGGAUGUCGUUCAAGCACAUGGCGGAGAGGUUUGUUCAACGGUCUGAAGCUACAACGGAAUUGAUAGAAAGGGGUGUUAUAUUUAUGCCAGUUCCUAUGCAGAGAUUUUGAAAAUACAUACGGCGAGCAUAUUGGCAUUCCUUCUUGCAAUAUGAUAAGGAAAGAGGUAAUUUUGAAGUUCGUACCGCUAUCCAUAAUAAUCGGGAUAAUAAUGUUCAUACUGUAAAUGAAUCUACAAGGUUAUGCUCCUGUGAGAAAUAGUCAAUCUACCACAUGCCUUGCUCACAUGCCAUCAAGUGUUUUCGAUAUGUUGGUUAUGCGGAAACCAACUAUAUUGAUCAAAAAUAUAGUGUUUCCAAGUACCUAAACACAUAUAGUGGUCCGUUGCAACCAUUGGGUGCUGAGCAUUAUUGGCCCCAGAACUAUUUAAAAUGGUGUGUAACAAGUCUUAUUUGCAUAAAAGACAUGUGCAGAAAAAAACGCGUAUACAGAACCAAAUGAAUGUUAGCGAUACUGUAUAUGCGUGCAAAUGUGGUAUAUGCUUGAAACCAGGACACGAUCGUAGAAAAUGUCCUUUGGGUGGUAACAGUAAUCAAGCUCGGGGUGGGUGUUCCUCUAUAAUACCUAACUACCCAUGAGUUGAUGUUGUAAUAAUUAGUUGUCACGUAUAUGUUGCAAGAUUUAUGAAAUAAAAAUUCCUUUUUUGUUAAUUAUGACUUGUACUUUCCCAUUUUACCUAUUUAAAUAUAAAUUUAAUAUAAUUAUCUAUAUAUUUAUUAUGUGUGUUUUGUCUUGUCGAACUGAAAAAGUUGACCAGCUGACAUAAAGUUGUCUUGUCAACAUCUUGAUAUUUAAUAUGCAAAAUAUAGCGCCAUUAAAUAUGACGCUAUGUCUAUGUUAUCUUGUCGAACUGAAAAAGCUGACUAGCUGACACAAAGUUGUCCUUUUAAAAAAUAUAGCACCAUUAAAUAUGAAGCUAUGUCUGUUAUCUUGUCUAACUAAAAAAGCUGACCAGCUGACGUAAAGUUGUCUUGUCAAUAUCAUGAUAAUUAAUACGCAAAAUAUAGCUCCAUUACAUAUGAAAGUAUGUGUAUGUUGUCUUGCCUAUAAAUAACGUGCUCAUUGUAGUCAUUUUGUGUGCUCAAAAUUUACUAAAAGGAAAUAUUUCGCUAAAAGAAAGGUUUUUUUUACUAAUAUCAAAUAUUUCACAAAUCGCUCAACCUCUUCGUCCACUAAUGUGCUACUGUGGAAAAACAUGCUUGAUGGAUAGUUGUUGGGAAGGUCGUGAUGUUGGAUGCCGCUACUGGCACUGUAGGAACCAGUUCUACAAGGUUCCCAGCGAACCUAUGUGUGAAUUUGAUGAAUGGGUUGCUGAACCAUGUUAUCAGGAAUGCUACAGAGAACAACUGCAGUCUCUUCAUAAUAUGUGGUUAGGCCAACUGAGAAUACAAAGAGAAAGUGAUAGAACUAUUACAGAAAUGAGGAAGAAACUGAACGAGGUGGGAGAUAAAAAAUGGAGAGCAGAAUGGGAUUGUGAAGCACAUAAGGAACGUAAUGAAAAAUAUAAACGGGAACUUGCGGAGGCGAAGGCGAGAGUGAAAGAGUUAGAUGAAUAAAAGAACAAAUGAAAGAACGAUUUAAGUGGUUGGAGCGGAGAAUAAAUAGCAGCCGGGACUAAAUAUUGGUCUAAAUGUAUUUAGUGUAUUUUUUAUAUUUCAUGUAUUUUUAUUAUACUGGCAUGUUAUGUUGUGUUUGUGUUGUAGUAAUAUUUUUCUUGUUUGUCGUAUUAUGUAUUUUAUUUUAAUUGAACUAGCUUGUGUUGUUAUACGAAACAAUAAAAUGAAUGGAGAACUAAACAAAGUAAUAGAAAUAUUCAAUUAAAUAUUAUAGUUAAUGUAUAUAAAAAUAUUAUUUAAACCAAAUAAAAAAAAAGGAAGGCUGACUCAAUGUGUCUCGCAUGUGGUUUGUUUCAAUUUAGCCGUCGUCCUGAGGCGCAUCCCCUCCUGCCUGGGUACGCUAUCAGGAUCAUCACCAUCAAGUUGUCCCCUUAUAGCCGGAUGCGGCGCAGGAUGACAUGUAUCGGUGGUGCUGUCAGGUCCAGUAAAAGGCUAUAUAAUAAUAUAAAACUUAGUUUAGAAAACUACAUAACAAUUCACAACAAUUUAUAUUAUCUUACAAUAAUCGUGUAUGGAUCCUGAAUGUAGUCAUCUGUCGCAGCAUCGCAUGAAGCGUGAAAAAGGAAAUUAAUAAAAUAAAAUAAAUAAGAUUAACUAUAACUUGGUUGAACUAUCAAAUAACAACACAAACCGAUAGUAUGCGCAACACUAAGUUAAACAAUAACUAAUACGUUUAGAUAGAUAUUGACCUGUGUGUCCUCUAGCAAAUCCAACACAUCCCUGAUGCGGAGGAGAUUAUGAUGGGAAUCAUACUCUAUUAAAUGUCUACGACGCAUAACCUACGUACAAGCUAGAGGGAGAUCCGGAAUUUCUACAUUAGCUGGUAGCUGUGGUAGAGGUGGCAGAAGCUGCAGAAAUCGCUCCCAGACCCAAAACUAACAUUGAAAGUUGAUGUAUAGUGUAAGAUUAACAAUAACUAGGUAUAAUUGUAACUAACGGAUAUAUUAAUUGAAUAUAUUGUCACCUGUAGAAGCAGAAGAAAGCCAAAAACGUCUCUGUGUGUGCCCAUGGAAGCCCGGUACAUCUGCCUGUACAAAAAUGAGAGGACAGCACCACCCUAGUUGUAUCCUCGAACCAGGUAAUAUGAUGCAGAAAACGUAGGCUCACUAGGUUCCUCGAAGUGUUCGGGAACAAGACCCCUCCCCCAAAUAGAACGAGCAACAACAGCCUCGUAUAUCGUUGCACAUAUACCUCUGCUGACUCGUCGUGAUAGUAUCGUGGAUCUGCAUGAGGUGGUCUCUAAUGGGGACUAACUGCAUACGACUGACCCCGGAUGCUACUUCCUAGUCCUCCGGCAUGAAACCAGUGAGCAUGUGCAGCAUAUCCCAAUAUGUCUCACGCGGAUAAUAUCUCUUGGUCGCAAGCACUAAAAUAGGCAAGCCAUCAGUGGACAUGCCAUAUUAAAUCUAUGCGUACUGGAGUGUAAUGGUGGCCUAGACAAUGGGAAGAUGAAAAGUGUGUGUCUCCGGUCCCUACCGCUCAAUCAAAUCCGUGAUCAAAGCAUAGUCGAGCUAUAUCCGGCCAAUCCUAAUAAUCCUAUAAAAUCCCAUCUCCUCCAGGUAAUGGACCACGCAGGGAUGUAGAACGCGGGGAGGACUCAAAAACUCCAUAUUAGAUCUACUCUCCUGGUCCGGAAAGUCUGCGUAAGCAACUGUCCUUCCCAUAUAUACUCGAAUCUAUGUUGGAGCUGUAGAGCUCAUAGAUCCGAGGGUCGGGAUAUAUAGGCAUAUCCAUGUCGUCAACUGUAAAAUCAUAAUUUUUAAUAACUUAAUUGUAUAAAUUAUCAUUAAUAAUUAUGUAUUUAAUAUAAUUUAAAUUCAUAUUUUUUAAUAACUUAAUUGUACAAAUUACUUACGUAUGGGUUCCGGGCUUGAUAUUUUUGAGGCCCAGUGGCACCAAACUAUCAUUAAUAAUUAUAUAUUAUUUAAUAACUUAAUUGUAUAAAAUACUUACAUAUGGGUUCCGAACUCGAUAUGUUUGAGGCCUAGUGGCACCAAACGAUCAUUAAUAAUUAUGUAUUUUUUUAUAUUUGAAAUUCAAAUAUUUUCAAUAACUUAAUUGUACAAAUUACUUACCCAUGGGUUCCGGGCUCGAUAUUUUAAGGCCAGUGGCACCAGACUAUCAUUAAUAAUUAUGUAUUUUUUUAUAAUUGAAAUUCAUAUUUUUCAAUAAAUUAAUUAUACAAAUUACUUACCCAUGGGUUCCGAACUCGAUAUUUUGAGGCCCAGUGGCACCAAACAAUCAUUAAUAAUUAUAUUUUUAUAAUCAAAAUUCAUAUUUUUUGAAUAACUUAAUUAUACAAAAUUACUUAUGUAUGGGUUUCGGGCUCGAUAUUUUUGAGGCCCAGUGACACCAAAUUAUCAUUAAUAAUUAUGUAUUUUUUAAUUAUUGAAAUUCAUAUAUUUUUAAUAACUUAAUUGUAUAAAUUAUUUACGUAUGGGUCCCGGGCUUGAUAUUUUUUAUGCCCAGUGCCACCAAGCUAUCAUUAAUUAUUAUGUAUUUUUUUUAUAAUUGAAGUUCAUAUUUUUUUAAUAACUUAAUUGUAUAAAUUACUUACGUAUGGGUUCCAGACUUGAUAUUUUGAGGAUCGAAAUACCAGUAUAACAUACUUAAACAAAAGAAAUUCUAAGCUAAAAGACUACACAUUACCACACUACAAGGCUCUAAGUUUUCUACGCUAAAAGGGUCUACGUUUUACUAUGCUAAAAAGGUCUAUAUUUUACCACGCUAAAAAAUAAUCUAAACUAAACAUUCACAACAAAUAAAUUUAAUUGCAAAUAAAAUACAAAAUGGCAUGAAAACACAUAUGUAUAAAUGAGAAUAUUAACAGAUAAAUUUAUUUGACAGAUUUAUAUUUUUAUAAACAACACUAAAAUUAAAUCCGGAUAAAUUUAACAUGCUAGUUUCGAAAAGAAAAAAAUACAAACUGAAAUAGAACACAUACAAAUCAAAUAAUUUGCAUUAUUAUAAAAGUUUCAAUUUAAAAUAAAUCGAAAUACCUUGAUUUAAAACUUUCGAAAAGCAAAUAAAUCGAAGUUUUGACUCCAAAAGUGUGAAUCAACAAUAACACGAAGCUCUACUCGAAUGUACGACCUACGUUCUUCAAGUUUUAUGUGCCGGGGGACCCAAUUUUUUUUAAAAACGGACAGUACUCGACAGAAUGGAGGGACCAAAAAGAGAGGAGUAAAAUAAUAGUGGUGAAGAAGACGGAUGGUCUUUUUUUAAUGAGGGGUAUAACGUCAGAUUUUAUGGUGUUAUAUCAAUUGUGUCAACUUUUUCUGAUAUAACGCCAUAAAAUCUAGCGCUAUAUAUUAAUGAUGCAAUUCCCGUAAUAAAUAGUGUCAGAUAUUAUUGCGUUAUAUAUAAUAUGGUAAUUUUUUUAACACCUAUUUGUGUAUUUUAAGUCAAAAAAACACAUUUUAAUUUCGGGCUCUUAGAUUUAGGGAUAUAACCAAUACUAGUAUAAACCCAAUACGAGCGAUAUGUCGUGGCUUGACAGUUAUCGCUUUUGUCUCUUUCGAACCUUACCUCAAAUAUUGACCGCCAAACACCACUAAAUUUUUGUCCUUUUCCUCGGACAGUUGGCUAUCUCUUAACUACUGUUCUAUGCCCUAUGGUCCCUCCCCAAACUUAGCUGUAGUUUGCUGUAAUCAGAUUCGCUCCUAAUCUACUCUUUUCAUUAAACAACGUGUUCUUGAUAGCUGUACUUACUGUGUUUUGCUUCCCCAUAAUCCCUAUAUAUAACUAGGCUGUGCAUUCGAAUCGGUUUAUCGAUAAAUCGAAUCGAUUAUUUGUUAUCGGUUUAUCGGUUUANNNNNNNNNNNNNNNNNNAAUCGGUUUAUCGAUAAAUCGAAUCGAUUAUUUGUUAUCGGUUUAUUGAUAUCGGUUUAUCGAUUCGAUUUCGAUUUCGAAAACUUCCUUAUCGGUUUAUCGAUUCGAUUUCGAUUUUGGCAAUUCGGUUUAUCGAUUUAUCGAUAAAUCGAUAAGAUAUAUUAAAAAGACAAAUAUCCCUUCUUUUAUAAUAGUAUUACUACCCUAUCCCCUUGACCCAUCACCCAAGACCAACCCCUCCAAAUCUGACCACACGCCCCCCCUCUUCCCUUCCUUUUUUUGUUUCAUUUCAUUAUACUAUACAUAAACAAAACCCUAAUCCUCUCAAAACCUAUACCUAGCCGCCACCCUCACGCUACUCUUCUUCUUCUCCGACCAAAUGACACCCUCAUGCCGGAGACAACCACCCCCAAAAAGAAUCAGGUAUCAAGUAUGACCAUGUCCGUGCUCUGUUCCUAUGGCUUUUGAAUUCCUUAGAAUUGAAAAACCUAAGUCUUCAUUUUUUUUCAGCCAUCAACACACCCAAAAGGACCACCCUAAAUCGCUAGAAUCUAGAGCAAAAUGCAACGACCACUCCACCCCUUCAAAACUCAUAAAUAACCCUAACCCUUAACCCCCGAUUUCCUAAUUCACUGCCGCCGAUCUCAUUCGAGAAAGCUCAAGAGGAGGUCGCUAAGGUUUCUGCUUUUGUUUUGGUUUCGAGAUCUCACCGGAGACGUCAACUUUGAGUUUGCUGCUUGCGGUACUGUCCGAAGCACCGUCGAGUGCUUCCGUUGAGGUUCUAUUUGAGAUCGUUAAUCUCUAUUCCCGGUUUAAGGUCUGAGUUUCGAUUCUUUCAUUUACAUCUUCUGUUUUUGUUUAUUACGAUGCUCUGUUAAUGACGUCCUCGCUAUUGUUAAUUGCUAUCUCCCUUCAAUUUCAUAACAUGGUUUGGAUAGCAUGAAUUUGGAGUCACACGACGUGGGUUCUGUCAUUUUCUUUUGGAUUAAGAAGUUGGGUUGGUUUCAUUUGUGGUUUGUGAUUAUUUUCGUUGUUUUGCUGUUGUUAGCUGAUCUUGUGCAGAGGUUCUGUACUAAUUCAAGAGUAAGAAAGGAAUUGUUGCUAUUAAAAAAUCACACUCUAACUUUACUUAUCUUUCUAAUUGCCAGAUUUGGUGUCAUGGCUCUUUGAAUUUUUGUUUGAUUUUACUUGUUCCGGUUUUACUACUUAGGUGACAGUAGUAGUUUGGGGUUUCAUGAAUACUUAAGGGAGGUAGGUACGGAGAAUUGACAUUUUUAUUUGAUCGUUGCCAAAGGGUCGAUUGUAAGAGGUUUUGUUUCAUGUCUUUUGUAACAGAGCUAUCGCAUUUCUCUGGCAAAUGGAUGUGGAUUUUGAGAAGUUUUUGACUUGGAUUCAGACAUUGACAAUGCAUUUGAGAAUAAGUAUAGACCAAAGGAAGAACUUCCAGCGAAG